AUUGAACGCUGGCGGCAGGCCUAACACAUGCAAGUCGAGCGGAAGCACAGUGCUUGCUUGUGGUUACAGCGGGGGACGGGUGGGCGAUGCAUGGGAAUAUCCCAGGCUGUGGUUUAGAACGUCAGGAAGUAGGCGCUCAUACCGCAUUAGUGCAGACGGCGUACGUGGGAGAGCUUCGGAUCUUACGCCCUCAGGUGAGUGUAGGUCGGAUUAGCUAGUUGGUGGGGUAAAGGCCUACCAAGCCGACGAUCCGUAGCUGGUCUGAGAGGAUGAUCAGUCACACUGGAACUGAGACACGGUCCAGACUCCUACGGGAGGCAGCAGUGGGGAAUAUUGGACAAUGGGCGAAAGCCUGAUCCAGCCAUACCGCGUGUGUGAAGAAGGUCUUCGGAUUGUAAAGCACUUUUAGUUGGGAGGAAGAGCAGUAAGUUAAUACCUUGCUGUUUUGACGGUACCAACAGAAUAAGCACCGGCUAACUUCGUG
This 484-nucleotide ribosomal RNA is filed under the name uncultured bacterium. RNAcentral describes it as "partial 16S ribosomal RNA". It matches the Rfam family "Bacterial small subunit ribosomal RNA", at positions 30 to 507 of the family's 1533-position model. The record is from RNAcentral.